This 425-nucleotide ribosomal RNA is filed under the name uncultured bacterium. RNAcentral describes it as "partial 16S ribosomal RNA". It matches the Rfam family "Bacterial small subunit ribosomal RNA", at positions 354 to 796 of the family's 1533-position model. The record is from RNAcentral.
GUGGGGAAUAUUGCACAAUGGGGGAAACCCUGAUGCAGCGACGCCGCGUGAGUGAAGAAGUAUUUCGGUACGUAGAGCUCUAUCAGCAAGGAAGAAAAUGACGGUACUUGACUAAGAAGCCCCGGCUAACUACGUGCCAGCAGCCGCGGUAAUACGUAGGGGGCAAGCGUUAUCCGGAUUUACUGGGUGUAAAGGGAGCGUAGACGGUAUGGUAAGUCAGAUGUGAAAGCCCGGGGCUCAACCCCGGGACUGCAUUUGAAACUAUCAGACUAGAGUGCAGGAGAGGUAAGUGGAAUUCCUAGUGUAGCGGUGAAAUGCGUAGAUAUUAGGAGGAACACCAGUGGCGAAGGCGGCUUACUGGACUGUAACUGACGUUGAGGCUCGAAAGCGUGGGGAGCAAACAGGAUUAGAAACCCGAGUAGUCC